This 168-nucleotide ribosomal RNA is filed under the name fungal sp. Its description in RNAcentral is "partial large subunit ribosomal RNA". Lineage: Eukaryota; Fungi. The record is from RNAcentral.
CGGCAACAGCUCAAAUUUGAAAUCUGGCUCUUUCAGAGUCCGAGUUGUAAUUUGCAGAGGGUGCUUUGGUGGUAGUUGCGGUCUAAGUUCUUUGGAACAGGACGUCACAGAGGGUGAGAAUCCCGUCUUUGACACGGACUGCCAGGGCUUUUGUGAUGUGCUCUCAAA